This 772-nucleotide unclassified non-coding RNA is filed under the name Butyrivibrio fibrisolvens. The record is from RNAcentral. Lineage: Bacteria; Bacillati; Bacillota; Clostridia; Lachnospirales; Lachnospiraceae.
UGCGGCUGGAUCACCUCCUUUCUAAGGAAAGAAGAAGGAAUGAAGUAGGGAGUUGUAUUACUGUUUAGAUGCCGAGGGGCAUCAAGAAAUUUCCGGUGGCGAUGCGCCCAUGGGAAACACCCGUUCCCAUCCCGAACACGACGGUUAAGACGUGGGCGGCCGAAAGUACUAUACUGGUAACGGUAUGGGAGGAUAGGUGGCUGCCGGUUAAUAAAAAAGAAGCUAAGUAGUAAGGGCUUAUAGCUCAGCCGGUUAGAGCGCACGCCUGAUAAGCGUGAGGUCGGUGGUUCGAGUCCACUUAAGCCCACUAAUAAAAAACUACUUAAGCCCAAAUGGGGGUGUAGCUCAGUUGGGAGAGCACCUGCCUUGCAAGCAGGGGGUCAAGAGUUCGAAUCUCUCCAUCUCCAUUCAUCUCAUUAAGAUUUUGAGAUGUGAUUGUACCUUGAAAACCGAAUACUGAUCAAAAGAUUUUAAUCUUAGAAAAACUACGAUUAAAAAUCGACAUCGAAAAUCCAAAACAAACAAGAACUAAAGAGCUUAUGGAAGUAACGCUAUACUGAAAUAAGCAAGAGAAUGGUUAUCGAAAGAUAAGACCAGUUCUAUACUAGCUGAAUAGAGGAUAGUGAAGGAGGCAUUCUUCGGAAUGCAGGUUAUCUGUCAAAUGCUUCGCAUUCGCCAGAUAAAUGACUUCGUCAUAUGUAUCCGAUAAGAAACAUAAAAACCUGUGCGAGCACAGAUUUUAGUUUCAUGACCGGAUACGCAUUCCUCAGAU